AUUGAACGCUGGCGGCAGGCCUAACACAUGCAAGUCGAACGGUAACAGGAAGCAGCUUGCUGCUUUGCUGACGAGUGGCGGACGGGUGAGUAAUGUCUGGGAAACUGCCUGAUGGAGGGGGAUAACUACUGGAAACGGUAGCUAAUACCGCAUAACGUCGCAAGCCCAAAGAGGGGGACCUUCGGGCCUCUUGCCAUCGGAUGUGCCCAGAUGGGAUUAGCUAGUAGGUGGGGUAACGGCUCACCUAGGCGACGAUCCCUAGCUGGUCUGAGAGGAUGACAAGCCACACUGGAACUGAGACACGAUCCAGACUCCUACGGGAGGCAGCAGUGGGGAAUAUUGCACAAUGGGCGCAAGCCUGAUGCAGCCAUGCCGCGUGUAUGAAGAAGGCCUUCGGGUUGUAAAGUACUUUCAGCGGGGAGGAAGGGAGUAAAGUUAAUACCUUUGCUCAUUGACGUUACCCGCAGAAGAAGCACCGGCUAACUCCGUG
This 490-nucleotide ribosomal RNA is filed under the name uncultured bacterium. Its description in RNAcentral is "partial 16S ribosomal RNA". It matches the Rfam family "Bacterial small subunit ribosomal RNA", at positions 30 to 507 of the family's 1533-position model. The record is from RNAcentral.